Molecule: ribosomal RNA, 513 nt
Filed under: uncultured bacterium
Lineage: Bacteria
Description: partial 16S ribosomal RNA
Rfam family: Bacterial small subunit ribosomal RNA
Source: RNAcentral
GAUGAACGCUGGCGGCGUGCCUAAUACAUGCAAGUCGAGCGAACAGAUAAGGAGCUUGCUCCUUUGACGUUAGCGGCAUACGGGUGAGUAACACGUGGGCAACCUACCUAUAAGACUGGAAUAACUCCGGGAAACCGGGGCUAAUGCCGGAUAAUAUUUAGAACCGCAUGGUUCUAAAGUGAAAGAUGGUUUUACUAUCACUUAUAGAUGGCACCGCGCCGUAUUAGCUAGUUGGUGGGGUAAUGGCUUACCAAGGCAACGAUACGUAGCCGACCUGAGAGGGUGAUCGGCCACACUGGAACUGAGACACGGUCCAGACUCCUACGGGAGGCAGCAGUAGGGAAUCUUCCGCAAUGGGCGAAAGCCUGACGGAGCAACGCCGCGUGAGUGAUGAAGGUCUUCGGAUCGUAAAACUCUGUUAUUAGGGAAGAACAAAUGUGUAAGUAACUGUGCACGUCUUGACGGUACCUAAUCAGAAAGCCACGGCUAACUACGUGCCAGCCGCCGCCGUAA